This is a long non-coding RNA of Gallus gallus (chicken), 1460 nucleotides long. The record is from Ensembl. Lineage: Eukaryota; Metazoa; Chordata; Aves; Galliformes; Phasianidae.
UUUAAAGGCUGGCAGUGAAAGUGAGAGUACCUUAGUGGAGAUUCCUGUGUUCCUGAGGUCUUCUGAAGAUCUGGUGAGGGAUUUAGUAGCACAGAGUACUUCGGUUACCUUCACCGCUGACUGACCGUGUUCACGAGUUUGCAGGAUGGACGUCAGGCUGAGCUUUCUCUCCCUCUUAGCACCAGACAGAAGAGAUUGUCUCCCAGCAGUCAGGAAGGAGAUUAAUGCACAUUCAACGCAAGCAUCCUGGGGGUCUUCUCCUGAAGAUUUUGACAGGGCAUGGGAUGGAUUUUCCUCCUGCUGCUAGACAGAGACCUAGGUUUAAGGAAAAAAAAAUAAAAAUGGACACUUUAUCUCAAUUCUAUUUUGCAAAAAAAUGCUUUCAAGGAUCAUUCUUUACUCUUCCUCACACCAAAAAAUACAAGAAACCUCCAAAUCUGACCCAAGAAUACAUCUUUAUACCUGGUCCACUAAGGCCUGAGUUACUUGGGCUUGCACCACAUCCAGCCUCCCCACCAGCAGCCUGACUGCAAUGCCCUGGUCCAGCUGCCUUUGCAAGGAGUGAAGGCUCCACACAGAAGCACAGAGAAUGUGAAGAGAGAAUCAUAGUCAUAGUAUAUCCUGAGUUGGAAGGGCGCCAUUGAGGAUUAUCGAGUCCAACUCCUGGCUGCACACAGGACCACCAUGACUGAGAACAUUGCCCAGACGCUUCUUGAACUCCUGCAACCUUGGUGCAGUGACCACUGCCGUGGGAAGCCUGUUCCGUGCUCCACCACCCUCUGGUGAAGAGCCUUUCUUUAUCGAACCUGAAAGAAGGAAUCACGACUGAAGCAUCUUGCAGGUGAAGGAGUGGCAGUGAGAAGAAAGGCUGGUUAUCUUUGUGAGAAAUUCCUGGGCAUAUUCCAGCAACUGAAGUUCAAAGAAAAUGACAUUAUUUGUGAAAGCUUUGAAAAUAUUCAUUGGAAGUUACAAAAAAACUGCUACUCAAAUUCCAGGGCUUUCCCUCCAUUAAUUGGAAUGCAAAACAGGUUUCACCUGUCCUGAUUUUUCCACCAUUUUUACCUGUUAGCAGAAGAACAUCCUCCAUGGAAUAAUAUUCAACAUAUCCACAACCAAAGAAGAGUUGAAACUUUGGGAUUUAUUUCAUAAAUAUUAAUAUUUACAUAUCUAAUAUAAUUCCUUUUUACAGAGUUUAUAUUCAGGUGUCUGAAAAACAGAAACAUUCUGAGGCAGAAAAGCACCGCUGUUUCCUUUUCGUAUCAGUCUGAUAUGGGACUGCGCUGUGUUCCCAUGGGAUGAAAGCUCCCAACUUCCACCACGUUCAGCAGAAACCACAGCGUCUUCUGCCAAAAUUAGAAACCAUUCCAUGGGUUGGGUGUGUGGUGAGGUGGGGUGGUACAGAGGUCUGCAGGAUAAUGGCUGGUGACAUGCAGCUGUUCAAGAUGCUGAAAUAAAAGGGU